RNAcentral lists this transfer RNA (65 nucleotides) under human gut metagenome. It matches the Rfam family "tRNA", at positions 5 to 66 of the family's 71-position model. From Rfam's summary of the family: Transfer RNA (tRNA) molecules are approximately 80 nucleotides in length. Their secondary structure includes four short double-helical elements and three loops (D, anti-codon, and T loops). The record is from RNAcentral.
GAGAAGCUCAAUUGGUUGAGCAACGGUCUCCAAAGCCGUCGGGUGUGGGUUCGAGUCCCACCUCU